UGUUAAAAAUUUCAACCAUUUGCACUGUUAAAAACUAGAGUGACUGACAAAAUAACCAAACAACUACACGAAACAUAUCACCUAUACUUCAUAGUGACAUACACGGAAUAGUUUUAACAGAAAGAAUAGAUGAAAAUUUUAAUA
Non-coding RNA from Gossypium raimondii (Peruvian cotton), 144 nucleotides. NCBI's taxonomy places the organism in Eukaryota, Viridiplantae, Streptophyta, Magnoliopsida, Malvales, Malvaceae. The record is from Rfam.